This 506-nucleotide ribosomal RNA is filed under the name Polynucleobacter sp. 32-46-5. RNAcentral describes it as "bacterial LSU rRNA". It matches the Rfam family "Bacterial large subunit ribosomal RNA", at positions 1 to 543 of the family's 2925-position model. The record is from RNAcentral. Lineage: Bacteria; Pseudomonadati; Pseudomonadota; Betaproteobacteria; Burkholderiales; Burkholderiaceae.
UAUAGAGUCAAGCGAAUAAGUGCACAUGGUGGAUGCCUUGGCAGUCAUAGGCGAUGAAGGACGUGGUAGCCUGCGAAAAGCUACGGGGAGCUGGCAAACAAGCUUUGAUCCGUAGAUGUCCGAAUGGGGAAACCCACUCCGCAAGGAGUAUCCCUGACUGAAUACAUAGGUCAGUGGAAGCGAACCCGGCGAACUGAAACAUCUAAGUAGCCGGAGGAAAAGAAAUCAACCGAGAUUCCGAGAGUAGUGGCGAGCGAAAUUGGAACAGCCUGUACGAUUUAGCAUUUGAGUUAACAAAACGGUCUUGAAAGUCCGGCCAUAGAAGGUGAUAGCCCUGUAUGUGAAAACUCGAUUGUGGAACUAGGCGUACGACAAGUAGGGCGGGGCACGAGAAACCCUGUCUGAACAUGGGGGGACCAUCCUCCAAGGCUAAAUACUCAUCAUCGACCGAUAGUGAACCAGUACCGUGAGGGAAAGGCGAAAAGAACCCCGGGAGGGGAGUGAAA